UGUUUGUUGCUGUUAUUGAACUCGAAAAAUUUAUCGUUCAACUGGUGACACAAAUAAUGUUUUCGGGACUAUUCAAUCAAGAAAAACCAUGCUCGAGAAUGGAAAUAUUGGAUUGUCUCAAGAUGUUGCUGCAGCAAUUCCGGUGUGUUGGCCAUGCUGCUCGAGCAGCUCGAAAUUUUUUUGACUAGGACAAACGACCGGGUGAUGGGUUCAUACAAUCAAACCCACAGGAGGUGUCCAUUGCCCGGAACGAUAUUCCGCUGAUGAUUUCACGAUCACUAGCAGAACUUCAUCGAAAAUGUCUGCCAACCUUUCGGGUAAUUCAAUCGGUGGCGAAGUUACGUACGGGUACAUCUAGGAACAGUUAGUAUCACUGUUUUGGUUUAUGCUGAACCAGCAGCUCCGUCUAGUAGAGUGGAUUCUGUUUUAUUUUUAUUUUUUAAGUUUAAAUUUUGUUUUGUUUUCAUUUUGGGCUUAAAAUAAAGAUCAUUUUUAAACUUUU
Molecule: long non-coding RNA, 502 nt
Organism: Uranotaenia lowii
Lineage: Eukaryota; Metazoa; Arthropoda; Insecta; Diptera; Culicidae
Exons: 2
Source: RefSeq, a predicted model, not a curated record